CUACGGGAGGCACCAGUGGGGAAUAUUGCACAAUGGGCGCAAGCCUGAUGCAGCCGUGCCGCGUGUAUGAAGAAGGCCUUCGGGUUGUAAAGUACUUUCAGCGGGGAGGAAGGGAGUAAAGUUAAUACCUUUGCUCAUUGACGUUACCCGCAGAAGAAGCACCGGCUAAGUCCGUGCCAGCAGCCGCGGUAAUACGGAAGGUGCAAGCGUUAAUCGGAAUUACUGGGCGUAAAGCGCACGCAGGCGGUUUGUUAAGUCAGAUGUGAAAUCCCCGGGCUCAACCUGGGAACUGCAUCUGAUACUGGCAAGCUUGAGUCUCGUAGAGGGGGGUAGAAUUCCAGGUGUAGCGGUGAAAUGCGUAGAGAUCUGGAGGAAUACCGGUGGCGAAGGCGGCCCCCUGGACGAAGACUGACGCUCAGGUGCGAAAGCGUGGGGAGCAAACAGGAUUAGAUACCCUAGUAGUC
Molecule: ribosomal RNA, 464 nt
Filed under: uncultured bacterium
Lineage: Bacteria
Description: partial 16S ribosomal RNA
Rfam family: Bacterial small subunit ribosomal RNA
Source: RNAcentral